This 936-nucleotide ribosomal RNA is filed under the name Triticum aestivum (bread wheat). RNAcentral describes it as "partial small subunit ribosomal RNA". Lineage: Eukaryota; Viridiplantae; Streptophyta; Magnoliopsida; Poales; Poaceae. The record is from RNAcentral.
UCGCAUUGGUCUCAAACCAAUGACAUGCAUUUCGAAAACCAUGAGUUCGAGGUGGACGAGGAGGGUGAGGGCAUUGUCGAUGCAUCAAAAGGAAGAGCGGGCAAUUACACCAACGCUGAUGACAUCUUACUAUGCAAUACUUGGUUGCAAGUGUCGAGGGAUCCAUCCGUUGGAGGUGAUCAAAGUAGAGAUGCUUAUUGGCUUCGGAUGAAGGAACACUUUGAUGUUCGCAACGUGAGUGGAAUUGACCGCUCCGACCGAUCACUUCGGUCCCGGUGGUCGACUAUCAACUCGGAUUGUCAACGGUGGGUGGCCUGUCAAAAGGCGGUUGACAAGUUGAACCCAAGUGGCACAAAUGAGGACGAUAGAGUAAGUGAAGAGGAGAGGAAAACCAAGAAGGGGAAGAUCAAGAAAGGAAGGAUAUUUACUUUGCCUCAUUGCUAUGAAGUGUUGAAGGAUGAUGAGAAAUGGAAGAAGCGUGAAGAUUUGGAUGAUUUGCAUUUGAGCAACAAACGGAAGCAAACAAUUAAGUUGGAUGAUGAUGAGGAUGAUGCAUCAAGUGAUGACGGCAAGAGAAGCCCCACACCCAACUCGGUUUCAUACUCGAAGCCAAAGCGACCGGAUGGGUGCAAGAAAGAUAAAACCGAAAAGAAGAAGAGGAAAGGAGAUGAUGAGCUCAAAAAUGCUAUGGAAGCUAUUGUGAAGGCAAGAAAAGAAGCCAACGAGGUGAGGAAAAUGGCAAGGAACCAAGAUGCCGCAGCCGAGGAGAGGAGGUUGGCGGCCGAGGAGAGGAAGGUGGCGGCCGAGGAGAGGAAGAUGAGCAAUGAGGAGCGAACAAGAUUGUUGAAAUGGGAGAAGCACUUGUUCUUCUUGGACACAUCUAUCCUCAAUGAGGUGCAAAAGGAGUAUGUCAAUCUUGCUCAUGAAGAAGUCUUG